Molecule: ribosomal RNA, 541 nt
Filed under: uncultured archaeon
Lineage: Archaea
Description: bacterial SSU rRNA
Rfam family: Archaeal small subunit ribosomal RNA
Source: RNAcentral
GGCAGCAGCCGCGGUAACACCGGCGGCCCGAGUGGUGAUCGUGAUUAUUGGGUCUAAAGGGUCCGUAGCCGGUUUGGUCAGUCCUCCGGGAAAUCUGAUAGCUCAACUAUUAGGCUUUCGGGGGAUACUGCCAGACUUGGAACCGGGAGAGGUAAGAGGUACUACAGGGGUAGGAGUGAAAUCUUGUAAUCCCUGUGGGACCACCUGUGGCGAAGGCGUCUUACCAGAACGGGUUCGACGGUGAGGGACGAAAGCUGGGGGCACGAACCGGAUUAGAUACCCGGGUAGUCCCAGCCGUAAACGAUGCUCGCUAGGUGUCAGGCAUGGCGCGACCGUGUCUGGUGCCGCAGGGAAGCCGUGAAGCGAGCCACCUGGGAAGUACGGCCGCAAGGCUGAAACUUAAAGGAAUUGGCGGGGGAGCACAACAACGGGUGGAGCCUGCGGUUUAAUUGGACUCAACGCCGGACAACUCACCGGGGGCGACAGCAAUAUGUAGGCCAAGCUGAAGACUUUGCCUGAAUCGCUGAGAGGAGGUGCAUGG